This 861-nucleotide ribosomal RNA is filed under the name uncultured archaeon. RNAcentral's name for it is "bacterial SSU rRNA". It matches the Rfam family "Archaeal small subunit ribosomal RNA", at positions 4 to 875 of the family's 1478-position model. The record is from RNAcentral.
CUGGUUGAUCCCGCCGGAGGCCACUGCUAUCGGAGUUCGAUUAAGCCAUGCGAGUCGAGAGGUGCAAGACCUCGGCAUACUGCUCAGUAACACGUGGACAAUCUACCCUAUGGAGGGGGAUAACCCCGGGAAACUGGGGAUAAUACCCCAUAGACUAUAGAUGCUGGAAUGCUUUGUAGUUAAAAGGUCAGCCGCCAUAGGAUGGGUCUGCGGCCGAUUAGGUUGUUGUUGGGGUAACGGCCCAACAAGCCUGUAAUCGGUACGGGUUGUGGGAGCAAGAGCCCGGAGAUGGAUUCUGAGACACGAAUCCAGGCCCUACGGGGCGCAGCAGGCGCGAAAACUUUACAAUGCGGGAAACCGUGAUAAGGGAACUCCGAGUGCCCGUAAAAUCGGGCUGUCCAUCUGUGUAAAUAAUAGGUGAAGAAAGGGCCGGGCAAGACCGGUGCCAGCCGCCGCGGUAAUACCGGCGGCUCGAGUGGUGGCCACUAUUACUGGGCUUAAAGCGUUCGUAGCUGGUCUGUUAAGUCUCUGGGGAAAUCUACUGGCUUAACCAAUAGGCGUCUCAGGGAUACUGGCAGACUAGGGACCGGGAGAGGUGAGAGGUACUCCAGGGGUAGGAGUGAAAUCCUGUAAUCCUUGGGGGACCACCUGUGGCGAAGGCGUCUCACCAGAACGGCUCCGACAGUGAGGGACGAAAGCUGGGGGAGCAAACCGGAUUAGAUACCCGGGUAGUCCCAGCCGUAAACGAUGCGCGUUAGGUGUAUCGGUGACCACGAGUCACCGAGGUGCCGAAGAGAAAUCGUGAAACGUGCCGCCUGGGAAGUACGGUCGCAAGGCUGAACUUAAAGGAAUGGCGGGGGA